Molecule: ribosomal RNA, 497 nt
Filed under: uncultured bacterium
Lineage: Bacteria
Description: partial 16S ribosomal RNA
Rfam family: Bacterial small subunit ribosomal RNA
Source: RNAcentral
GAUGAACGCUGGCGGCGUGCCUAAUACAUGCCAGUCGAGCGAACAGACGAGGAGCUUGCUCCUCUGACGUUAGCGGCGGACGGGUGAGUAACACGUGGAUAACCUACCUAUAAGACUGGGAUAACUUCGGGAAACCGGAGCUAAUACCGGAUAAUAUAUUGAACCGCAUGGUUCAAUAGUGAAAGACGGUUUUGCUGUCACUUAUAGAUGGAUCCGCGCCGCAUUAGCUAGUUGGUAAGGUAACGGCUUACCAAGGCAACGAUGCGUAGCCGACCUGAGAGGGUGAUCGGCCACACUGGAACUGAGACACGGUCCAGACUCCUACGGGAGGCAGCAGUAGGGAAUCUUCCGCAAUGGGCGAAAGCCUGACGGAGCAACGCCGCGUGAGUGAUGAAGGUCUUCGGAUCGUAAAACUCUGUUAUUAGGGAAGAACAAAUGUGUAAGUAACUAUGCAUGUCUUGACGGUACCUAAUCAGAAAGCCACGGCUAACUACGUG